GAUGAAGAACGUAGCGAAAUGCGAUACGUAAUGUGAAUUGCAGAAUUCAGUGAAUCAUCGAAUCUUUGAACGCAUAUUGCGCUCUCUGGUAUUCCGGAGAGCAUGCUUGUUUGAGUAUCAGUAAACACCUCAACUCCCUUUCUUCUUGAAAUGGAGCUGGACUUGAGUGAUCCCAACGCUUUAUUCAUAAAGUGGCGGGUUACUUGAAAUGCAGGUGCAGCUGGACUUUUCUCUGAGCUAUAAGCAUAUCUAUUUAGUCUGCCUCAAAACAGAUUAUUACCUUUGCUGCAGCUAACAUAAAGGAGAUUAGUUCUUGUGCUGACUGAUGCAGGAUUCACAAAGACCGCUUCGGCUGUCUUUGUAAACUCGAUCUCAAAUCAAGUAAGACUACCCGCUGAACUUAAGCAUAUCAAUAAGGGAGGA
This 423-nucleotide unclassified non-coding RNA is filed under the name soil metagenome. RNAcentral's name for it is "partial contains 5.8S ribosomal RNA, internal transcribed spacer 2, and large subunit ribosomal RNA". The stretch from base 1 to 120 matches the Rfam family "5.8S ribosomal RNA", at positions 35 to 154 of the family's 154-position model. The record is from RNAcentral.